Molecule: ribosomal RNA, 253 nt
Filed under: uncultured bacterium
Lineage: Bacteria
Description: partial 16S ribosomal RNA
Rfam family: Bacterial small subunit ribosomal RNA
Source: RNAcentral
UACGAAGGGGGCUAGCGUUGCUCGGAAUUACUGGGCGUAAAGCGCACGUAGGCGGAUUGUUAAGUCGGGGGUGAAAUCCUGGAGCUCAACUCCAGAACUGCCUUCGAUACUGGCGAUCUCGAGUCCGGGAGAGGUGAGUGGAACUGCGAGUGUAGAGGUGAAAUGCUUAGAGAUCGUCCAGAACACCGAUAGCGAAGGCAGCUUACUAAGGAGUAACUGACGCUGAGGCACGAAAGUGUGGGGAUCAAACAGG